RNAcentral lists this ribosomal RNA (492 nucleotides) under uncultured bacterium. RNAcentral describes it as "partial 16S ribosomal RNA". It matches the Rfam family "Bacterial small subunit ribosomal RNA", at positions 29 to 507 of the family's 1533-position model. The record is from RNAcentral.
AGUGAACGCUGGCGGUAGGCCUAACACAUGCCAGUCGAACGGCAGCACAGUAAGAGCUUGCUCUUACGGGUGGCGAGUGGCGGACGGGUGAGGAAUACAUCGGAAUCUACUUUUUCGUGGGGGAUAACGUAGGGAAUCUUACGCUAAUACCGCAUACGACCUACGGGUGAAAGCAGGGGAUCUUCGGACCUUGCGCGAUUGAAUGAGCCGAUGUCGGAUUAGCUAGUUGGCGGGGUAAAGGCCCACCAAGGCGACGAUCCGUAGCUGGUCUGAGAGGAUGAUCAGCCACACUGGAACUGAGACACGGUCCAGACGCCUACGGGAGGCAGCAGUGGGGAAUAUUGGACAAUGGGCGCAAGCCUGAUCCAGCCAUACCGCGUGGGUGAAGAAGGCCUUCGGGUUGUAAAGCCCUUUUGUUGGGAAAGAAAAGCAGCAGGUUAAUACCCCGCUGUUCUGACGGUACCCAAAGAAUAAGCACCGGCUAACUUCGUG